CGAAUCAGUUCCAAAUUCACUUGAUUGUGAUAUUGUCCAGAGAAGGUGUUAGACCUGUUGGGAUUGAUGAAGCUUUUAUUGAUGCCUCCUAUGAGUCGGAUUGUUUGAGAAUGCAGUCCAAAUUUGGUGGUAUACUCCAUCUAAGGCUAAAUACUUGUGUGAGUCCGAUAGCAAACAAGUACCGUGAGGGAAAUUUGAAAAGAACUUUGAAGAGAGAGUUAAAUAGUACGUGAAAUCGCUUAGAGGUAAACGAGUGGAGCCGAAGCUGUUKURYGGGAUUCAGUUGAUUGUAUGUGAUGUAAUGAUUGAUGAGAUCUCACAAGGAUUCAUUCGAUUGUCACUUAUUACGUACAUUUAAUGCACUUUCUGUAUGACUUGACUGCGAUCAAUAGUGUCGUUUUUCUGUCGUGAUGGUGAAGUUGAUCACUCGUUUUACGAUUGGUUUUAUAGCUCAUUGCACGGUUAAACGGUGUAUUGGUGAAUACGAUUGAAUGUUUAUGUUUUGUCUUUGGUUAUGUUGAUUGUUUGGGAGUAAACUAAUAAUAGUUUAUUCUUUGAAUAGUCAGUGUGAUUGAUUAUAAUUCUGUUCAGUCUAAAAUCAGCAGUGUAUAUGUAGGUUACCUACUCGUCCCGUCUUGAAACACGGACCAAGGAGUUUUAUAUUAUCGCGAGUCAAAGGGCUUUACGAAACCCCAGGGCGUAAUUAAUGUAAAGGUUUGCGUUGGUAAACUGAGAUGUGACCUAGACGAUGCUCGCAAGGGCAGGAUCUUGUGCAACAUCGACCCGUCUGAAGGUGUUCGCAUCUGGGCGGAGUUUGAGCGAUAAUGUAGAGACCCGAAAGAUGGUGAACUAUGCUUGUGCAGGUUGAAGCCAGAGGAAACUCUGGUGGAGGACCGCCGCGGUUUCUGACGUGCAAAUCGAUCGUCGGACAUGAGUAUAGGGG
Molecule: ribosomal RNA, 943 nt
Filed under: Caenoplana sp. morph Ca2
Lineage: Eukaryota; Metazoa; Platyhelminthes; Tricladida; Geoplanidae
Description: eukaryotic LSU rRNA
Rfam family: Eukaryotic large subunit ribosomal RNA
Source: RNAcentral